Triticum aestivum (bread wheat) is the source of this 3659-nucleotide long non-coding RNA. RefSeq lists it as uncharacterized. The record is from RefSeq and is a predicted model, not a curated record. NCBI's taxonomy places the organism in Eukaryota, Viridiplantae, Streptophyta, Magnoliopsida, Poales, Poaceae. The transcript is spliced from 6 exons.
CCCCCCCCCCCUCACUUUCUUAUGUAAUGCGUUGUCUUAUGCAUGAUGGACUGAUUCAUGCCUAAUUGCACAUAUUAUUCAAGAACUUGUAGUUUUCGGAAGUUAUAUUUGACCACAGGCAUGUACACACUGUUGGUAUUUUGUUUGUAGUUUUUGUUAGUUGAUGUAUGCAGUGGUGGUCGUCAUGUUAAGUAAAUUCUAACACUGGUAGUCUAGAAAUUUUGAUCAAAUUGGAAUUUUCAUAUGCCUAUUGAACAUUAAUAGUGAUUUUAGCAUGGCUGUUGUUCCCACUUUGUGUUAAUAUAUAACUACUCUAUGUAUGAAUGACAGGGAUUUCUAGCACUCGUUGUGAAAAAAGAGGACUUUCAUGAAUGAUUUUAGCCAUUUGUUCUUAUGAGAUGGCACUUAGUGAUGAAAUGACACCAUCCUAUGAAAGUGCGGACUUAGUGGGAAUUUUGGCACUUUCAUGUAUAGUCUGUCACCUUGUUAGCUAAUACGAGCACUUAGUGGUCUGGCACUUUCAUGUAUGAUCUGGAAUCUUGUUGCUGAAACUUGCACUUUUUAAUUGAUAUUAUCUGAACCCCCUGACCCUCUCAUGUAUGCCCUUGGGCCUUCUGAUCUGGUGAAGGAUACACCAUCGCUACCCACAUACCGGUCAUGAUUUAUGUGUAUUACAGUAUUACUGUUCAUUGUUUGCUGAUAUGUUUGGUCCGCUGGGGAUCCUGUCUAUGUUAGCUCAGUGCAGAAUUAGAUGCUUCACAUUUAAAGAUUCUGGAUAUAUCUUGUGCAACUAAUAUACUUACCUGUCAUGAAAAAUCCUUUUCUUACUUGCAUUUCCUAGUUAUUUUGUUGGAUUUUUUCACUUAUGUGUUAUGUCGAAUGCAUCAUAGAUUCAUGACCACCCUGUUUAAAUGAUGUUCUGGUAACUUUAUUUGGUAUUGAGCAAGAAACAGAGAAAUUUAGGAAAUGGAUUCAUUCUAUCCUUUUGUUAACUUUAUGUUCUUUACUUUUGAAUAUUUCGACUUAUAGUAUACAGUGUAAAUAUUGGUGAUGUCAAGACCAUAUUUGUUAGCAUAAAAAUUAGAAAGAUAAUGUAAAAGAUUAUAUGCAAUUAUGAAUUUGGUAAAUAGUGUAAACAGGAUGGGGCCCAAAAGCGCUCGAGUACACGGGCGGGAGAAAAAAAAUAGAAGCCACUAGAAGCCCACCGGCCACCGUGGCCACACGGAGAUUUUCCUUCCCUUUCUCUGUAAAAAAAAAUGGAAUUUUCCUUCCUUAUCCACACCGCCCCCUCAGCCGCAGCACUAGCAUCGACGUCGCCGCCGCUAACCCUAGCAACACCGUCGCCGACUCACCCAUCCACACCAUCCCUCCCAGCGUGACCACCCCCAUCCCCUUCAUCACCCACGCCGUCGCCUCCAUACCCCCCAUCGACGCCUCAACCCAGCGCCGCCGCUGCUGCAUCCUGUACUCACGCCGCCACCCAAUCCCCAUUGACGGCGCCCCACACCCGCACCUCCGACCGACGCCGCCGCCCAUCCACACAUCUACGCCGCAAUCGCAUCCCCCACGCAGCGCCGCCAUCCCAUCACCCGACGACAACGCCGCCCCAUCCGAUUCACCACCCACAACACUGUCCCAAUCCGCAGCAGCGACGCCUCUCCAUCCCCGCCCCCUGCUUCGCCUCGCACUGCAUCACGGCCUGACGGGACGCCUCCACAUCCCUGUCCCAAGAUCUGUUAUGUACUGUCCGUUGAAGUAGCAGCAACAGCAUCAGAGUCCUAGAUAGAGGCUGCCACUGAGCUCUGUUCUCCCUUCUUGGUCUUUAUAGGUGCUAUGUAGAGGAGUAUAUGAUUUAGUUCCAUUAAUGAUCUGGAUGAUGCAUUGGACAAGUUUGUGGUUCGUCUUGAUGGGGCUUUGGCUGACUAGCCUAAAUUGAAUUGGAUGGAUCAUGCUAGGCGCACAAAUACGUAUAUCAAAGAGGUCAAACAAUUCAGACAACUGGCAGCAAGAAUCCUGCAUGUGUUAUCGGUGAAGACUGAAGAGGUACAUUAUUGCUAUUGUUUCCUGCAAUUCUUUAACCCAUCUAAAUAUGUGUUGGCUGAUGGAACAAUAAAUUGAAUGUAGCACAAGAAGAAUGGGUAGAGAUGAAGCGUUUGUUAUAACACACACAAGUAAAAUCAGAAUUCCUUCGAACAAGGCAGUGGCACAAAAAAUUGUAUGUACUAAAUAGUACUCCCUUGGGUUAGCAUUGCCAUUUAUAGUGAAUCUUAUUUCUGUGAUUCCUCCUUGUAGAAAGAGCUGGAGGAGUUCCUUUCAGUUUAUCUUCAGCUAUGCUUAAGAGUUCGGUUUUUAGUGGGACUUGCUUGUGGUGUGGUAGCCAGGCUGUAGGUGUGCUGUUUGGUGGCUGGUAGUUAACUUCACAGUUUAGGAUAGGAUAGAAAACAGGGAUAGCUUCUGAUUUUUGAUAAUUGUGCAGAAAUAUUUUUAGCCUGUGCUCGACAAACCAAAGCAUGAUGUUUUCUAUUCCAGUUAGCAUAUAGAUUAUUUAAUUUACCAUGUUGUACACAAUUGGAAACAUACAUUUGUGACCAUAUAGGUAGGAACCUAAGAUUCAAACUAAAUAGCCUUAUACUAAAAAUCUACGAAACGCGGACACGGCUGAAACUACUGAAUCGGCGUACUAAUAUGGCCGGACACGGUCUGGUACAAAAUCUAAUUUUGCAGGCUACUCUACCGCUAAGUCCACAAAGGGACUCGACCGCCAAUGAUGCUCCUACUCCUCAAGCAGGGAGCAUGGAAUCUGGGAGCCAAGUAUCAUUGGAGAAUGGAGAUUGGGUCUAUUUUGCAUGUAGCAAUGACAUGGGUCUCGUGGCAGUAUUCUAAUCGUUGAGCACUUGAAAAGGAGACUACAAAUGGGCAGUAUUCCGAUCUCAUCCCAGUUUCUCAUUAAUUUUUGUCUUCAACUUUGUAUUACAUGGCAUCUUUUCAUUUAUUUUAUAUAUAUUUGUUGUAUCUCCAAAUGGCUGUCUUUGGAAAAUGUCGUAUCCUUUGUCCCUGUAUCCGUAUCGUCGUGUCUUUAUCGUGUGCCUGUCUCCAUAUCCAUGCUUUUUAGCUAAGAAUUGUCAUACUUUUGCUGUUCACCUACUCCAAAUUGAUGUUUGCUGAAGAUGGAACUGGUAGUGAACUAACGAAUGUAAAAAGUUCCUCGCAUUUAUUUAAACAGCUCAAUUAGUUCAAAGAUAGGAUAAUCAUGGUGAUUUGAUAUUUCCUAUGGCUGAUUACAAAUGUAUGAUCUGAUAGAAAGUUUGACAUGGCUUCUUUUUAUUUACAGGUCACAGUAUAAUGCUUUUGCAUCCACAAGUUUCAAGGAGCGUGAUCUCACUGUUCUGUGAGCUAAAAGGAUCUUCUGCGGAAUCUGUUUCUAAUUGGAUCCUGAUCAUAUUUUGCACUUAUCAAUAAUGUAUUGCAAGACAUGUGAACCCUGAAUGGCAUGCCUAUGUAUGUAUGUAGACGUGAUGUGGAUCCUUGUGCUAUUGGCUAUGCUGUAAUACUGCUUAUCAACCUAUAUAGUAUGUAUGUUUUCAUGUAGACAUGAUGGAUUGCUGAGAUACAUUUAUAUAAUGUCUAAGUGAUGCAACUCUAAUGAUUGUGCAUGUGUC